RNAcentral lists this ribosomal RNA (424 nucleotides) under uncultured bacterium. Its description in RNAcentral is "partial 16S ribosomal RNA". It matches the Rfam family "Bacterial small subunit ribosomal RNA", at positions 360 to 776 of the family's 1533-position model. The record is from RNAcentral.
AAUUAUCGACAUGGGGCGCAAGCCUGAUCCAGCCAUUCCGCGUGAGUGAAGAAGGCCUCCGCGUUGUGAAGCUCUUUCGUACGGACAGAAAGCGCUCAGGCUUAUACCCGGCGCCUAUGACGGGACCGGCAUAGGGUGCACGGGCUAUCUACGUGCCACCAACCGCGGUAAUUCGUAGGGUGCGGGCGUUAAUCGGAAUUACUGGGCGUAAAGCGAGGGAGGGCGGUUGAUUAAGACAGGCGUGAAAUCCCCGGGCUUAACCUGGGAACUGCGCUUGUGACUGGUCAGCUAGAGUACAGCAGAGGGGGGUGGAAUUCAACGUGUAGCAGUGAAAUGCGUAGAGAUGUGGAGGAACACCGAUGGCGAAGGCAGCCCCCUGGGCCGAUACUGACGCUCAUGCACGAAAGCGUGGGUAGCAAACAGG